Molecule: small nuclear RNA, 191 nt
Filed under: Castor canadensis (American beaver)
Lineage: Eukaryota; Metazoa; Chordata; Mammalia; Rodentia; Castoridae
Description: U2 spliceosomal RNA (ENSCCNG00000030397.1)
Rfam family: U2 spliceosomal RNA
About the family: U2 is a small nuclear RNA (snRNA) component of the spliceosome (involved in pre-mRNA splicing). Complementary binding between U2 snRNA (in an area lying towards the 5' end but 3' to hairpin I) and the branchpoint sequence (BPS) of the intron results the bulging out of an unpaired adenosine, on the BPS, which initiates a nucleophilic attack at the intronic 5' splice site, thus starting the first of two transesterification reactions that mediate splicing.
Source: Rfam by way of RNAcentral
AUCACUUCUUGGCCUUUUGGCUAAGAUCAAGUGUAGUAUCUGUUCUUAUCAGUUUAAUAUCUGAUACAUCCUCUAUCUGCGGACAAUAUAGUAAAUGGAUUUUUGGGACAGGGAGAUGGACUAGGAGCUUGCUCCGUCCACUCCACACAUCAACCUGGUAUUGCAGUACCUCCAGGAGCAGUGCACCAAAA